CAGGGCUGAGGUCUCUGGGAAGGCAGAGCUGUGGUCUAGGAGAAGAUGAGACUGCUGGGUCUUCUCCUGUGCCUGCUGACAGCCCCCCAAGGUGUCCUGUCCCAGGUGCAGCUGCAGGAGUCGGGGCCAGGACUGGUGAAGCCCUCGCAGACCCUCUCCCUCACCUGCUCUGUCUCUGGUUACUCAAUCACCAGUGAUUCCUGCUGGCACUGGAUCCGCCAGCCCCCAUUGAAGGGGCUUGAGUGGAUUGGGCGCAUAUGUAGUAGUGGGAACACUUACUACAGCCCCUCCCUCAAGAGCCGAACCUCCAUCUCCAGGGACACAUCCAAGAACCAGUUCUCCCUGCAGUUGAGCUCCGUGACCACCGAGGACACAGCCGUGUAUUACUGUGCAAGAGACAGGAGCAUUCAUGGGGCCCAUGAGCUGCAGAGCAUCAUGGUGGACAAGCCCGUGGCCACUGGGGUCAGAGAACAGUCAGGGAAGGGCUUGUUCCUGGUCACCUAUAGUGUUGCCAACGUGUUGCUGACCAGAGCCCAGGUGCAGCUGCAGGAGUCGGGCCCAGGAUUGGUGAAGCCCUUGCAGACCCUCUCCCUCACCUGCACUGUGUCCGGAGGCUCAGUGACCAGCAGUGACUACUGGAGCUGA
Non-coding RNA from Myotis daubentonii (Daubenton's bat), 645 nucleotides. The record is from the annotation of a RefSeq genome assembly. NCBI's taxonomy places the organism in Eukaryota, Metazoa, Chordata, Mammalia, Chiroptera, Vespertilionidae.